RNAcentral lists this ribosomal RNA (484 nucleotides) under uncultured bacterium. RNAcentral's name for it is "partial 16S ribosomal RNA". It matches the Rfam family "Bacterial small subunit ribosomal RNA", at positions 30 to 507 of the family's 1533-position model. The record is from RNAcentral.
AUUGAACGCUGGCGGCAGGCCUAACACAUGCAAGUCGAGCGGAUGAAGGGAGCUUGCUCCUGGAUUCAGCGGCGGACGGGUGAGUAAUGCCUAGGAAUCUGCCUGGUAGUGGGGGAUAACGUCCGGAAACGGGCGCUAAUACCGCAUACGUCCUGAGGGAGAAAGUGGGGGAUCUUCGGACCUCACGCUAUCAGAUGAGCCUAGGUCGGAUUAGCUAGUUGGUGGGGUAAAGGCCUACCAAGGCGACGAUCCGUAACUGGUCUGAGAGGAUGAUCAGUCACACUGGAACUGAGACACGGUCCAGACUCCUACGGGAGGCAGCAGUGGGGAAUAUUGGACAAUGGGCGAAAGCUUGAUCCAGCCAUGCCGCGUGUGUGAAGAAGGUCUUCGGAUUGUAAAGCACUUUAAGUUGGGAGGAAGGGCAGUAAGUUAAUACCUUGCUGUUUUGACGGUACCAACAGAAUAAGCACCGGCUAACUUCGUG